This 97-nucleotide signal recognition particle RNA is filed under the name Gammaproteobacteria bacterium. RNAcentral describes it as "signal recognition particle sRNA small type". It matches the Rfam family "Bacterial small signal recognition particle RNA". From Rfam's summary of the family: The signal recognition particle (SRP) is a universally conserved ribonucleoprotein involved in the co-translational targeting of proteins to membranes. Archaeal SRP consists of a 7S RNA and homologues of the eukaryotic SRP19 and SRP54 proteins. Lineage: Bacteria; Pseudomonadati; Pseudomonadota; Gammaproteobacteria. The record is from RNAcentral.
UAUCGGUUCCCCCGCGACGAUAGGCCGUGAACCCCGCCAGGCCCGGAAGGGAGCAACGGUAGCGGUUGACUCGGGCGCCGGGGUGCAGCUGGUAUGA